This 1423-nucleotide long non-coding RNA is filed under the name Arabidopsis lyrata. Its description in RNAcentral is "long non-coding RNA (ALYR_LNC000914)". Lineage: Eukaryota; Viridiplantae; Streptophyta; Magnoliopsida; Brassicales; Brassicaceae. The record is from RNAcentral.
UUCAUUCGGCGGGACAAGGGCGUCAUUCUGGAGAGCUCAUUUAGCAAGUUCGUAUGACAGACUUCGUACGACAGACUUCAUAUGACAGACUUCGUACGACAGACUUCAGACUUCGUAUGAUAAGGUUUGUUCGGUGGAGUUCGUACGUCACGGCGAAGGAGUCUUGGUACGGCCAGGACGACGAAAGUGUUUUUGUACGCUCAAAGCUGACAAGCUCAAAUGGCACGCGACGGUUGAAUCGCUUACGAUUACUGAUCUUUGCAACGAUGAUCUUGAGCCUUUUCCGGAGUUUGCGGAUGGCGUGCCUACGGAGGUAACCGAGGCUGGAGUGGGGGAAGAUGGUACCUAGGUCGCUGAUGCCUUGGUGAUCUCCUUGAGUACGAGAAUUUGAUGUUUGUUUUUUCUUCUUUCAGUAUUCGUAGAUUUUAUCCGGCUUUUUAGCUUGUUGUAGCUUGUCGGAUCGGCAUUAUGUACUGUUGACCCUUUAAAUGUACUGUGGUCGUAUCGUUGUUGUAGCAGCUUCCUUUUAUUGAUGAGAAGGUGCAAUUGGUUCUUGUUUUUGCUUGUUCUUGAUGUUGUACUAAUUGUAAUUACGGACAAGGUGCGAUCUGCAGCUCGGCUUAUCCCGUCUAGUCGUUUGACUUUUACGUGCUAAGAGAAGCUGUUUAUGCCUUUAUCAUUUUUGUGCAAGGUAAUCCUCGGCUGAUUUUGUGUGAGGUAUCCUUGGCGUUUUAAGCUUAGUUUCGAAACGUAUUAUGGGGCAAGACGUCUUUUGACUUAUCCUGUAUACGUUUGAGCCGAAACGAUGAACUUAGUAGAAAGUAGACAAAGCGGACUCGUCGUACUAUAUAGGUGCGGUUCUGGUGUCCGGCUUAUCCUGUGGGUGCUAUGAGGUCGGCAAGAACGUGCAAGCCGGAGCUUGGCUUAUUAUGAUUCGACCGCCUGCUAGCUAAUGCGAGACUGGCUCGGCUUUUAGUCCUUACCGAAGUAAGGAUGUGGAUUAUUUCGCCACUGCAUCCAUGUGGAACGCGUUUAAAUCGAACUCCUGGCCAGGGAGACGAUGUGGGAGCUGGUCGAUCGUCGAGACGGACUCGUUCGAAAGAGCUCGUUUGUAUUAAGUACGUUGGCGUUGAUUUAUACUUGUGAUUUGACGAUGUGAGAGCAGAUCAAUCGUCGAGACGGACUCGUUCGAAAAAACUCGCGUAAAGUAUGUCGGCGUUGAUUUAUACUUGUGAUUUGACGAUGUGGGAGCAGGUCAAUCGUCGAGACGGACUCGUUCGAAAAAGCUCAUGUUAAGUAUGUCGGCGUUGAUUUAUACUUGUGUUUUGACGAUGUGGGAGCGGAUCAAUCGUCGAGACGGUCUCGUUCGAAAUAGCUUGCGUUAAGUAUGUCGACAUUGAUUUAUACUUGUGACGAUUUUUUU